This 73-nucleotide transfer RNA is filed under the name Macrostomum lignano. It matches the Rfam family "tRNA". From Rfam's summary of the family: Transfer RNA (tRNA) molecules are approximately 80 nucleotides in length. Their secondary structure includes four short double-helical elements and three loops (D, anti-codon, and T loops). Further hydrogen bonds mediate the characteristic L-shaped molecular structure. tRNAs have two regions of fundamental functional importance: the anti-codon, which is responsible for specific mRNA codon recognition, and the 3' end, to which the tRNAs corresponding amino acid is attached (by aminoacyl-tRNA synthetases). tRNAs cope with the degeneracy of the genetic code in two manners: having more than one tRNA (with a specific anti-codon) for a particular amino acid; and 'wobble' base-pairing, i.e. permitting non-standard base-pairing at the 3rd anti-codon position. The record is from Rfam by way of RNAcentral. Lineage: Eukaryota; Metazoa; Platyhelminthes; Macrostomidae.
GCCCCAGUGGCGCAAUGGAUAGCGCGUCGGACUUCUAAUCCGGAGGUUGAGGGUUCGAGUCCUUCCUGGGGUA